RNAcentral lists this ribosomal RNA (497 nucleotides) under uncultured bacterium. RNAcentral describes it as "partial 16S ribosomal RNA". It matches the Rfam family "Bacterial small subunit ribosomal RNA", at positions 28 to 507 of the family's 1533-position model. The record is from RNAcentral.
GAUGAACGCUGGCGGCGUGCCUAAUACAUGCAAGUCGAGCGAACGGACGAUAAGCUUGCUUCUCUGAUGUUAGCGGCGGACGGGUGAGUAACACGUGGAUAACCUACCUAUAAGACUGGGAUAACUUCGGGAAACCGGAGCUAAUACCGGAUAGUAUUUUGAACCGCAUGGUUCAAAAGUGAAAGACGGUCUUGCUGUCACUUAUAGAUGGAUCCGCGCUGCAUUAGCUAGUUGGUAAGGUAACGGCUUACCAAGGCAACGAUGCAUAGCCGACCUGAGAGGGUGAUCGGCCACACUGGAACUGAGACACGGUCCAGACUCCUACGGGAGGCAGCAGUAGGGAAUCUUCCGCAAUGGGCGAAAGCCUGACGGAGCAACGCCGCGUGAGUGAUGAAGGUAUUCGGAUCGUAAAACUCUGUUAUUAGGGAAGAACAUAUGUGUAAGUAACUGUGCACAUCUUGACGGUACCUAAUCAGAAAGCCACGGCUAACUACGUG